This 1392-nucleotide small RNA is filed under the name uncultured bacterium. RNAcentral's name for it is "bacterial SSU rRNA". The stretch from base 1 to 457 matches the Rfam family "Bacterial small subunit ribosomal RNA", at positions 1064 to 1533 of the family's 1533-position model. The record is from RNAcentral.
GUCGUGGGAUGUUGGGUUAAGUCCCGCAACGAGCGCAACCCCUACUGUGUGUUGUAUCACUCACACGGGACUGCCGAGAGAAACUCGGAGGAAGGUGGGGAUGACGUCAAGUCAGCAUGGCCCUUACGUCCUGGGCUACACCCACGCUACAAUGGCCGGUACAACGGGCGGCGAAACCGCGAGGUGGAGCAAAUCCCUGAAAGCCGGUCUCAGUUCGGAUUGUAGGCUGCAACUCGCCUACAUGAAGCCGGAGUUGCUAGUAACCGCAGGUCAGCAUUACUGCGGUGAAUAUGUUCCCGGGCCUUGUACACACCGCCCGUCACGUCAUGAAAGCUGGCAACACCCGAAGCCGGUGGGCUAACCGCAAGGAAGCAGCCGUCGAAGGUGGGGUUGGUGAUUGGGGACGAAGUCGUAACAAGGUAGCCGUACCGGAAGGCGCGGCUGGAUCACCUCCUUUCUAGGGAGAUCCGAGUCCCGACUCUUCGGUGGGGUCGGGGCGUUGAAGGCUCCCAGGUUGAUCGCACGGUCGCUCGUCUUCUUCCGUCAGGUGGAAGGCGUCGAGACGGGUCCGCGAGGAUCCGCUUCGGAGACCGAUCGCGACCUGACGAAAACACCGAAACCCGUUCACCAUCCGCGUUCGGAAGUUCCUGUCACUCUUCAAGGGUUAAGGGUGCAGCCGCCGGCGGCGACAUCGUGUCGACCGUGACGUCGGCACGGCCCCGGCGGGCGUUUAGCUCAGCUGGUUAGUGCACUGCCCUGAUAAGGCAGAGGUCUCUGGUUCGAGUCCAGAAACGCCCACCACACUUACCGCGAGGCAAGGGGACGUAGCUCAGUCGGCAGAGCAUCUCCUUUGCAAGGAGAGGGUCAGGAGUUCGAGUCUCCUCGUCUCCACCACCCGCUCCGCGUGAAGGCACGGAGGGUCAUCAACCUGCGAGGCCGCACUCACAGAAUUGAAUAGACCGGGUGGACCCCGGGACGACCGAACCUUCCAGGCGCUGUCCUCAAGACGGCUCCGAGGCUGGUCCUCGAGCCGUCUUCGCAUGUCCGCCUCCCAAUCGAACCCCUGAUCCGUGAUCUCCAACGGAGCUCACCGACCAGCGGAUCGCUGGAACUCCGGCCCCCGGGCCGGGACCGUCGCCCGAGCGAUCGGGCCGCACCUUAACAACUGGAUAUGUUUUUUCGGCAGUAAAUCGAUCUUCGAUUUCGCCGAGUCAGUUCAAGGAUACGAUCCCGAUCGAUCCCGUCCUUGCACCUGGCCGCCUGGUCAGAUGCUGGAAGGGGUCAAGCUACAAAGGGCACGGGGUGGAUGCCUUGGCGCCAAGAGCCGAUGAAGGGCGUGGCAGGCUGCGUAAAGCUUCGGGGAGUCGCGAGCAGACGUUGAUCCGGAGAUGU